ACGCUGGCGGCGUGCUUAACACAUGCAAGUCGAACGAUGAAGCCCAGCUUGCUGGGUGGAUUAGUGGCGAACGGGUGAGUAACACGUGAGUAACCUGCCCUUAACUCUGGGAUAAGCCUGGGAAACUGGGUCUAAUACCGGAUAGGAGCGUCCACCGCAUGGUGGGUGUUGGAAAGAUUUAUCGGUUUUGGAUGGACUCGCGGCCUAUCAGCUUGUUGGUGAGGUAAUGGCUCACCAAGGCGACGACGGGUAGCCGGCCUGAGAGGGUGACCGGCCACACUGGGACUGAGACACGGCCCAGACUCCUACGGGAGGCAGCAGUGGGGAAUAUUGCACAAUGGGCGCAAGCCUGAUGCAGCGACGCCGCGUGAGGGAUGACGGCCUUCGGGUUGUAAACCUCUUUCAGUAGGGAAGAAGCGAAAGUGACGGUACCUGCAGAAGAAGCACCGGCUAACUACGUGCCAGCAGCCGCGGUAAUACGUAGGGUGCGAGCGUUAUCCGGAAUUAUUGGGCGUAAAGAGCUCGUAGGCGGUUUGUCGCGUCUGUCGUGAAAGUCCGGGGCUUAACCCCGGAUCUGCGGUGGGUACGGGCAGACUAGAGUGCAGUAGGGGAGACUGGAAUUCCUGGUGUAGCGGUGGAAUGCGCAGAUAUCAGGAGGAACACCGAUGGCGAAGGCAGGUCUCUGGGCUGUAACUGACGCUGAGGAGCGAAAGCAUGGGGAGCGAACAGGAUUAGAUACCCUGGUAGUCCAUGCCGUAAACGUUGGGCACUAGGUGUGGGGACCAUUCCACGGUUUCCGCGCCGCAGCUAACGC
This 814-nucleotide ribosomal RNA is filed under the name Micrococcus luteus. RNAcentral describes it as "bacterial SSU rRNA". It matches the Rfam family "Bacterial small subunit ribosomal RNA", at positions 33 to 858 of the family's 1533-position model. The record is from RNAcentral. Lineage: Bacteria; Bacillati; Actinomycetota; Actinomycetes; Micrococcales; Micrococcaceae.